Molecule: small RNA, 29 nt
Filed under: Bombyx mori (domestic silkworm)
Lineage: Eukaryota; Metazoa; Arthropoda; Insecta; Lepidoptera; Bombycidae
Description: ovarian small RNA-28888
Source: RNAcentral
UCGGAAAUUUGAUAACUCAAAACGUGAUU